GGGUCAGUAGGCUGGUCGUGCCACCGGUACGUACUGGUCUCACUGAUUCCUCCUUCCUGAAGAACCGUAAUGCCACUAAUUUGGUGUUGCGGGGAAACAGGACUGUUACUUUGAAAAAAUUAGAGUGUUUAAAGCAAGCUAACGCUUGAAUACAUUAGCAUGGAAUAAUGAAAUAGGACGAUCGAUCCUAUUUUGUUUGUUUCUAGGAUUGACGUA
This 216-nucleotide ribosomal RNA is filed under the name Glomeromycotina sp. Its description in RNAcentral is "partial small subunit ribosomal RNA". The stretch from base 40 to 216 matches the Rfam family "Eukaryotic small subunit ribosomal RNA", at positions 686 to 864 of the family's 1831-position model. Lineage: Eukaryota; Fungi; Glomeromycota. The record is from RNAcentral.